Molecule: long non-coding RNA, 282 nt
Organism: Mesocricetus auratus (golden hamster)
Lineage: Eukaryota; Metazoa; Chordata; Mammalia; Rodentia; Cricetidae
Exons: 3
Source: RefSeq, a predicted model, not a curated record
CAACAGAGGAGGAACAGAGAACAUCUCAUGAGCGCAGGAAGAAAACCCAGAGAGAUCUCCGGAGAUUUGUUGUCCGACCUCAACAUGUACACAGUAUGCCUGUACUUAUACAUGCACUGAAGUCCAGUAUUAACCACAAAGUACGACUCUGUAACAGAUUAGUAAGAGAAACCCAGGAAGUAAUCCACAGGGGAUCAGGAACUGCAUUCCACAGAAGGAUAGAAAGGAGUCUCACUCUAUUAAUAGAGCCAUGUACAUGAUGAACUCAAGGACUUGAACUUG